Molecule: non-coding RNA, 21 nt
Filed under: Arabidopsis thaliana (thale cress)
Lineage: Eukaryota; Viridiplantae; Streptophyta; Magnoliopsida; Brassicales; Brassicaceae
Source: RNAcentral
CGGGUCCAUCUUCGACUUCUG